RNAcentral lists this ribosomal RNA (460 nucleotides) under uncultured bacterium. Its description in RNAcentral is "partial 16S ribosomal RNA". It matches the Rfam family "Bacterial small subunit ribosomal RNA", at positions 338 to 795 of the family's 1533-position model. The record is from RNAcentral.
CCUACGGGAGGCAGCAGUGAGGAAUAUUGGUCAAUGGCCGUAAGGCUGAACCAGCCAAGUCGCGUGAAGGAAGAAGGAUCUAUGGUUUGUAAACUUCUUUUAUAGGGGAAUAAAGGUAUCCACGUGUGGAUACUUGCAUGUACCCUAUGAAUAAGCAUCGGCUAACUCCGUGCCAGCAGCCGCGGUAAUACGGAGGAUGCGAGCGUUAUCCGGAUUUAUCGGGUUUAAAGGGUGCGUAGGUUGUUUUUUAAGUCAGCGGUGAAAGUUUGUGGCUCAACCAUAAAAUUGCCGUUGAAACUGGAAGACUUGAGUGUGUUUGAGGUAGGCGGAAUGCGUGGUGUAGCGGUGAAAUGCAUAGAUAUCACGCAGAACUCCGAUUGCGAAGGCAGCUUACUGAGCCAUAACUGACACUGAAGCACGAAAGCGUGGGGAUCAAACAGGAUUAGAUACCCGAGUAGUC